AAUCUUCUCAGCGUUUGGGCAGCUUUUGGCAUAGAAACCAAGCUGUAACUGAGCUUGAGUGGAGCCUAUGAGGCCUAGAAGACCAACAAUAGCGGCCAACACCAAAGAAGCGUCACUAAAGUUCGCAGCCCCAGGCCCUCAGCUAUAAACUAUGCUUAAAAAGUACCAAACAACUUGAUUGGCUCACCUGCUCUGGAAACAGAGCACGUUGUAAGACAAUUUUCAAGCAAUAAUUGCGCUCUUGCAUGGCGGCCAGACAUGAGAGCCGCCUUACAAAAGACAUUGUGGAUAGAGAGAAAUGGUUUCUUUAUUAUUUGAGAUGGUUCUAAUGUUCUAAGAGCUUGGGAGCCGGGAGGCACAUGCUUGGCCAUUCCAUAUCCGGAGGAAAAGGAGACAAUGAACCGGUAAACAGCAGCCUCAGAGGUUCAUAGUUUUAAAUUUUGAUGCAGCAGACCAAAAUUGACGGCCGUGUGCUCUCGGAAAAGGAUAACAAAAACAUUCCGAGAUCCCACAUCGAUUGGAGAAAAGAAUGAAACACUUGUAAGGGUGUGGAGUCUCUCCCUAUUAGACAUGUUUUGGGCCAAAGUGUGUAAUAUCUACUAGCGGUGGGCUUAAGCUGUUACAAAUGGUAUCUAAGCCAGACACUGGGCGGUGUGCCAGCGAAGACACUAGCCCCCGAUUGUGAGAUCUCACGUCGAUUGGAGAGAGGAACGAAACAUCCUUAGUGUGGAAACCUCUCCCUAUGGAUUGUGAGAUCCCUACAUCGAUUGGAGAUGAGAACAAGGGUGUAGAAACCUCUCCCUACUAGACGUGUUUUAGACUCGUGAGACUGAUUGUAAUAUGUAACUGACAAAAACGGAUAAUAUCUACUAACGAUGGACUUGAGCUGUUAUGGUAUGAACGUAUCAUAUGUUUUUUUCCAUAAGCAAUCAAAAGACUUUGAGUAA
This is a non-coding RNA of Cucurbita pepo subsp. pepo (vegetable marrow), 947 nucleotides long. The record is from RefSeq and is a predicted model, not a curated record. Lineage: Eukaryota; Viridiplantae; Streptophyta; Magnoliopsida; Cucurbitales; Cucurbitaceae.